This 439-nucleotide ribosomal RNA is filed under the name uncultured bacterium. RNAcentral describes it as "partial 16S ribosomal RNA". It matches the Rfam family "Bacterial small subunit ribosomal RNA", at positions 339 to 795 of the family's 1533-position model. The record is from RNAcentral.
CUACGGGCCGCUGCAGUGAGGAAUAUUGCACAAUGGGGGGAACCCUGAUGCAGCAACGCCGCGUGGAGGAUGACGCAUUUCGGUGUGUAAACUCCUUUUAUAUGUCAAGAAAAUGACGGUAGCAUAUGAAUAAGCACCGGCUAACUCCGUGCCAGCAGCCGCGGUAAUACGGAGAGUGCAAGCGUUACUCGGAAUCACUGGGCGUAAAGGACGCGUAGGCGGGUUGGAAAGUCAGGUGUGAAAUCCUACAGCUUAACUGUAGAACUGCACUUGAAACUUCUAAUCUAGAGUAUGGGAGGGGGAGAUGGAAUUAGUGGUGUAGGGGUAAAAUCCGUGGAUAUCACUAGGAAUACCUAAAGCGAAGGCGAUCUCCUGGAACAUUACUGACGCUAAGGCGUGAAAGCGUGGGGAGCAAACAGGAUUAGAUACCCCCGUAGUC